This is a non-coding RNA of Callorhinus ursinus (northern fur seal), 348 nucleotides long. The record is from RefSeq and is a predicted model, not a curated record. NCBI's taxonomy places the organism in Eukaryota, Metazoa, Chordata, Mammalia, Carnivora, Otariidae.
CAUUAUAAUAACCCAAAGUGGAAACAACCCAAAUAUCCAUCAAGUGAUGAAGGAGAAUCAAAAAGUGUGCUAUCCAUACAAGUGGAAUAUUAUUCAGCCAUAAAAAAGAAGCAAAGUACUGAUACAUGAUGAACCCUGAGAACGUUAUGCUAAGUGGAAGGAGCCAGAUGCAAAAGGCUGCAUAUUAUAUAACUCAUUUCUAUGAAAUGUCCAGAAGAGUCUUCGCGGGAUCCCUCUGGCUGCGAAUGGAGAAUGGACUUCAGGGGGAGCAUGGGCAGGAUGGAAGAUAGGAGACCGGGAGGGAGGCUACCGCAACAGACCAGGAGGUGGAAGCACAGAAAGAGGGAG